Herpailurus yagouaroundi (jaguarundi) is the source of this 4361-nucleotide long non-coding RNA. RefSeq lists it as uncharacterized. The record is from RefSeq and is a predicted model, not a curated record. Lineage: Eukaryota; Metazoa; Chordata; Mammalia; Carnivora; Felidae. The transcript has 2 exons.
UUAUAACUUUGCAAAGUGCCUGGGUGGCUGGCUCAGUAGGUUAAGCAUCUGACUUGAUUUGGGCUCAGGUCAUGAUAUCACGGUUCACGAGUUCAGGCCCAGGUCGGGCUCGCACUGCCAGUGCAAAUCCUAUUUGGGAUUCUCCCUCUCUCUCUCCCCCCUCUCUCUGCUUCUCUCUCUCUCUCUCUCAAAAUAAGUAAACUUAAAAAAAAGUUUUAUAAUUUUGCUUUUCAUAUUUAAGUCUUAAAUCUCCUGGAAUUGGUUUAUUGUGCGUGAUGUGAGGUAGAGGACCGGUUUUAUUUUUGUGUGUGUGUAACCAGGCGUCCCAAUACCAUCUUUUGAGAAAUCCAGCCUUUUUUCCACUAAUUUGUAUUGCCGGGUAUGUCAAAAAUGAAAUUUCCAGAAAUGUGCGAAUCCACUUCUGGGUUCCGUUUUGUUCCACUGGUCUGUCUGCUCCUGUAUCAGUACCUUCCUGUCUAGCUUUUGAAUAAUUGUUGAUAUUUGGUGUGGCACUUCCCCACCUAGUCCUUCUUUUUCAAGAAUAUUUUGAUUAUUGGCCCUUUGCUCUUCUGUAAAGUUUUUAGAAGCAGCCUGUCUUGCUCCACAAACUAACCACUUGGGAUUUUAAAUGAAAUUGCAUUAAAUUGCAUCUGUAGAUCCUUUGAGUGCUGGGCUUUCCUUAUUCCUCCCUUGCCUACUUGGACAGUCUCUCCAAGCACAUUAUGAAACACUUCUCCACACUGUUUCCUGCGUGCCAAGUUGCAGCCUUCCCUUGAGAAUAUAGAAUAGAUUUCAGAACCUUUGUCUUCUGUGUUAUGUCUUUGAGGUAAACUUUGCUUGAAAAUCCAACCGUAAGAAUUUGGGGCCGCUGUUCAAUUUGCUGCCUCCAGAAAGGAAACUCGGGCUCUUCGGGAUUUUGCCUUGGCUGUGUUUCAGAGCCUAGUUCCGUGGAGUGGGAGGACUUGCUUGUGUGCCUUUAAUGUCUAUGGGACAGUGCUGUGCGAGCCAAUAGGAGCUCAUGAAUGCUCUUACUAUUAGUAAUGCCCAAAUGCGGGAAGUGUAUCUUGGCUUGGAAUGAGAAAGGUUCCUGGGAAGUUUUCUUGGCUCUGUUUUCUCAAGAUUUAUAUAGGACACAACAGUAAUUCUUUUGUUGUUGUUGUUGUUGUUGUUGUUGUUGUUGUUGUUGUUGUUGUUUUUGUCUUUCUGACUCCAGGGUAAUUUUUAAGGAGAGACUAGUUAACCACAGUAUUGCAAGUUUUCUUAAAUACACUGGUGUUUUGACCAAAUGGGACAGAAGUGCACAUUAAAUUCAUAAAAAUUCUUUUCCUUACCUUCUUGGAAGUUUGGAAACUCAUUCUCCUUUGCAUUUCUUUUGAGUCCUCUAGGCAAAUUUGCGUGUGUGUGUGUGUGUGUGUGUGUGUGUGUGUGUGUGUGUGUGUUUUAGGGGGAGAAGGGAUAGAAGUCUUCCUUCAGGAGAUAAAGCUCACCAAGCAGCUGAUCAGGCCUUUGUAGGCCUUGAAUUUGCUUUGUAUUGUGGUGUUUUAUUUUGACACCAGGAACUAGAAAUACAACAUUAUCUGAUAUUCUUAAGGGCCCUUUUGGCACCCAGGGAAUUCCUGGAUCUCCUGUGUGAAUUAACAUAAAGCAGGAUUUAAAACUCUGCUGUAGCCUACCCCACUACUUAUUCAGUCUUCUUUAGGAAUUGGACCAGCUCUUCCUUGCAUCGUUUGCAACUCAUCAGGGCCUGUGCUUUACUCAAGACUUUCUGAGUAGACCUGACCCUCUGUCCAGACAAAGGGCAAGGAGGCAGGAGGCAGCCUGAGACUCUGGAAGGAGGGGCUCUGCGGCAUCAUUAAAGACAUCAAUAGUCAGCUCAGUCAUUAUGCUGUGACAGGUGUUGGUAUUCUUUAUUCAACUGUUAAUUUAUGUGUGUAAUCCAUUUUGAUUUUAGACCGUGAACAUGUUAAAUUUUAAAAUGCAAUUAGAAUACUUCAGAAGCUAGGUUUUCCCCCUGUGCUUCUUCUAAAGAACAGCAUUGGACCAAGGAAUUCUGGGAACAGAAGAUGGGAGGACCUGAGACCCCAGUGGCUGGCAGAAAGAGCCCUGCAGGACUGCUCUCAGGCAGGCAGGCCCCAGAGGAGAAUGUGGGCAGGAGGGACUCUCUCUAGGCAGAGACACUUUGGGUUCACUUCUGGAUUGUUGUUGAAGUGAUUGUGGUCAUUUUGUCCGUGGAGAAACACACCCAUGACCAGCACAGUGAUGGCCAGGCGUUCACCUCUGUUUUGCAGGGGCACUGAUCACAUCCGCUUCUUGGUUCUGCGCACAAGAGUGAGACAUUGUUUAGCUGGGACUUCUCAGAAUUUAAGUCAUGGGACUAAAUAACACGUAGCCUGACUUUUUUAUUGGCAGUCUGGAAUUACCUUCCGGAACAACUGAGUAAAAGCAUACAGAGCUGUGCUGUCUCCUAUAGCUAGAGGGAGCGAGGGAAAUACCUUCAAAGCCUCUGGUUGUGGCAUCAGAGCCUUUGAUCCAGAUCAUAUGUGACAAGAAUUUUUAAGUGCUACUCAUCAAGCCAAUUUUCCUCUUAUCUGGGGUUAGUGUUCAACCUCUUAUCUCUGCUCUUGCCUUAAGCAGCUAACACUUGCCUCUUUAUUUGCUGCCCUAUGUGAGUAACUGUUGAAAUGAUUGCUUGAGUUCCCAGGGGAGAAUCCCUACUCUCCUUAUUAACACUGGGGGUGUGGGUGCUCUUAGUAGCCCAGGGCUUCCAGAGCGGCACAUCACAGCACCAUCCCUGUAGGGAGAACACUGCCACACCAGUGUGUCUUCAGGGGACAACUCUGCUAUCUGUGUCCACGCGGAACUCAGGGAUAGAGCGAACUUUACAAACGUCCUGGUUCACCCCAUCCCCUGACUACACAGUAGAAAGACAAGCACACAGUGGACUAGACUGUAGAGCCCAGGCCCCCCGAGUCACUGGGCCCCAGGGUGUUUCGGGGUGAUAUAGUGAGUUGUACAACAUUUUUUCCAUUCUCAGUUCAGCAUCAGAAAUGCAGAUUCUCUAUAGCUUAAACUCCUGAAGGGUCUUCUGAACUUUCUUUCUGCUUAAGGAGUUUGUGAUCUAAACCAGUAAUUUUCAGUCUGGGGUUUGUGACGCUCCAGUAUGUUACACAUUAUCAUAAGAGAAUAUUUUUAAAGUUCAGUAAUAGAGUUCAUUGUAAUUAGGUAUAAUUUUUAACAUAAGUAUAUGUCCUUUGAUGUGUUUUAAGAAUGGAUUUAUGGUGUCACGAACUUAAAUAAUGGGAUGUUGCAAGUCCCCCAAGCUCGACCUUUCCAGUCUGUCCAUCAAAACUAAUUCUAUAUUGAAGUGUCCAAGGUAGCCAGCUAAAGAUUAGCAGCGGCCCACCCCCAUCACUCGUACGUCCAGACGUACACACGCACACAUGUUUACCAUCUGACCAAGAUUCCAAGCCAAGGCCCGAGACGGAAAGUGAAUUUUUUCAUUCACAUGGAGGGAGCUGUGAGUGCCGCCAACUUCUGCUGACAUUGGGAUCCUUGUGGGCAGAGAGUGGACCGGGGAUCAUCGCAGCCACGGGCGGUGAUUUCCCCACUGGUGCUUCAGGCCGCAGCCCGGCCGGCUGACCUUUUUUGGCUUUGUUUUCUUAAAGAGUCAUAUCGGGACUUCUAAUUUGAAAGCAUAAUCCCAAAGCCACUCGGCAUCUGCCUGCAAAAAGCCUGUGUGUGCUGAAGCACUCCCCUCCUGAUAACUGAGCACGGGGCCUGCUUUCACUCCUCCAGGCAGACUUCACUACGGCCAUCUUCUUCAGUGCGCUUAACACAGGCCCCAGCCGUUCGCACGUCACAGACCAGGAAACAUCCAGCCCUUGAAAAAUGGAAGUUGUAAUUGUAGUGUCCGAGUGUUCACUUGGACCAGAGUCGGACACCCUUGUUAAUUCAAGUUAAGACUCUGCCCCUGGGACAGCGUCAGGCCAAGGCUUGUGCAGCUCAUCACGCAAGUGAUCCUGGCCCGGUGGUUCUGAGCGAACAUCCGCGUGUACAUGAGGCAACACUGGGGGACACUUGUUCUCAUUUUACAUUUGAACAUCCCUCGGGACAGGAAAUAAUUUUCGUUUUUGAGUUACCCUAACAAAUGAAGUGGAUUGAAGGACUCUUUUGGGGUUGUUUUUUGGUUUUUACUUUAAUGCAUGAAGUCCCAUAGCAGUACUUAAUAAUCUUGAGGAGUUUAAUCCUCAUAGCUAAUUUCCUAUCUGCUCACGUUUACGACAAGUUUGUAAACCUUCACUGAGAGAUUAGCAAAUUUCUUAUUUCUAAAAUUGAGAAUAUAUAGUUUUUAGGAACAUUGA